Molecule: ribosomal RNA, 492 nt
Filed under: uncultured bacterium
Lineage: Bacteria
Description: partial 16S ribosomal RNA
Rfam family: Bacterial small subunit ribosomal RNA
Source: RNAcentral
AGCGAACGCUGGCGGUAGGCUUAACACAUGCAAGUCGAACGGCAGCACAGUAAGAGCUUGCUCUUACGGGUGGCGAGUGGCGGACGGGUGAGGAAUACAUCGGAAUCUACUUUUUCGUGGGGGAUAACGUAGGUAAACUUACGCUAAUACAGCAUACGACCUUCGGUGGAAAGCAGGGGAUCUUUUGACCUUGCGCGAUUGAAUGAGCCGAUGUCGGAUUAGCUAGUUGGCGGGGUAAAGGCCCACUAAGGCGACGAUCCGUAGCUCGUCUGAGAGGAUGGUCACCGGCACUAGAGCUUAGUCAGGGUCCAGGCUCCUACGGGAGGGAGCAGUCGGGAAUAUUAGACAAUGGGCGCAAGCCUGAUCCAGCCAUCCCGCGUGGGAGGAGGAGGCCUUCGGGUUGUAAAGCCCUUUUGUUGGGAAAGAAAAGCAGCAGGUUAAUACCCCGCUGUUGUGACGGUACCCAGAGAAUAAGCACCGGCUAACUUCGUG